GUCCACAAGCUAAGAACAAUUCUUCGAAAACAAUACAUAAACAUAUUAAAAAACAUGAGCAUGACCAAUGGCAAUGAUGAAUAAUGAUAAUCAUGCCCAAUUAAGCCAAGCAACAGUUAAAUAUAUAUAAAAUAUUCCAGAAGCACUUAUCUCCAAUUUCUCCACUUCGGACAGCAAAAUUAACAUGUUGCAGUACGUUUGAGAAACGCACUUAUUAAAUACACCAAAUCCACGUAACCCUGUUAACACCAGCCUGUACAACAAAAUUACGCUGUGAAAAAUAGGUGUAGAAAAAACCAUGAAUAAAAAAAUAAUAGUUGCAUAAUUCUCCAAACCAAGUCGCUGAUCAGAAUUGCAGGGAACAAGAAUUACUCUCAAAUUAUGCAAUUGCCCAUAUACCUAAUGCUUUAAGGUUUUGAUGGAGAUGCGGCUCAUUGUUGCUUUCGACGCUAGCCCGUUGUUACUCUUGUUGCUUUUGAUGGAGAUGUAUCAGAGUAUUUCAAGAGGAUGAAGAACACUAUAACCCUUUUGUAUAAUAUAUCAAUUUUACAAUCAAUCACUCUCUCUGUUUACCUAUAUACCAAAUCCUUUUGUAUAUAGUGGGAUAUAAUAUCAUAUUGGACAAUAAUGUACUGGUUGGUUGGAGUAAACCAGCGGAUCAUUGAGG
RNAcentral lists this long non-coding RNA (667 nucleotides) under Trifolium pratense (red clover). RNAcentral's name for it is "long non-coding RNA (TPRA_LNC005019)". Lineage: Eukaryota; Viridiplantae; Streptophyta; Magnoliopsida; Fabales; Fabaceae. The record is from RNAcentral.